AAAGAAAUAUAUUUAAAAAAGCUUCUAACUUUUUAUAAAGCAUUAAAUUGUUUAU
Molecule: transfer RNA, 55 nt
Filed under: Xylobanus sp. UPOL A00094
Lineage: Eukaryota; Metazoa; Arthropoda; Insecta; Coleoptera; Lycidae
Description: partial tRNA-Ser
Source: RNAcentral